This 75-nucleotide transfer RNA is filed under the name Mus musculus (house mouse). RNAcentral's name for it is "tRNA-Ser". Lineage: Eukaryota; Metazoa; Chordata; Mammalia; Rodentia; Muridae. The record is from RNAcentral.
GGCUGGAGAGAUGGCUCAGUGGUUAAGAGCACUGACUGCUCUUCCAAAGGUCCUGAGUUCAAAUCCCAGCAGCCA